AUGAAGUACCCUACAAGGCUAGAAGACAAAGAUUUCAAAAAAUUUUGAAUUCCGCAUUUCAGAUCCGCUCAGAAAUUCAGCUAUAAAAGGCAGACCAUAUGAGAAGAAAGAUCAUCGAGAAAAAAAUUUCAGAUCCGCUCAGAAAUUCAGCUAUAAAAGGCAGACCAUAGGAGAAGAAAAAUCAUCGAGAAAAAACACAGAGCAAGAAAUCCUCUGAAAACCUUAAGCCAACUUUCCAUCCCAAAAAAUCUUUCUAAAACCACCUUGUAAAAUAUUCCCUUUAUGAAUACCCCAGUACUUAUUCUUCUAAACUUGUAAAAUAAAUAAAGUUUGUAUGCUUAGGAGUUGAUCGUUUUCAAUUCAGAAGUUCAG
This 372-nucleotide long non-coding RNA is filed under the name Nicotiana benthamiana. RNAcentral's name for it is "long non-coding RNA (NBEN_LNC033447)". The record is from RNAcentral. Lineage: Eukaryota; Viridiplantae; Streptophyta; Magnoliopsida; Solanales; Solanaceae.